Molecule: ribosomal RNA, 459 nt
Filed under: uncultured bacterium
Lineage: Bacteria
Description: partial 16S ribosomal RNA
Rfam family: Bacterial small subunit ribosomal RNA
Source: RNAcentral
CCUACGGGGGGCUGCAGUGAGGAAUAUUGGUCAAUGGGCGCGAGCCUGAACCAGCCAAGUCGCGUGAGGGAAGACGGUCCUAUGGAUUGUAAACCUCUUUUGUCGGGGAGCAAAAGACGCCACGCGUGGCGUUCCGAGAGUACCCGAAGAAAAAGCAUCGGCUAACUCCGUGCCAGCAGCCGCGGUAAUACGGAGGAUGCGAGCGUUAUCCGGAUUUAUUGGGUUUAAAGGGUGCGUAGGCGUGCAUUUAAGCCGGCGGUCAAAUGUCGGGGCUCAACCCCGGCCUGCCGUCGGAACUGGGUGCCUUGAGUGGGCGAGAAGUAUGCGGAAUUCGUGGUGUAGCGGUGAAAUGCUUAGAUAUCACGAAGAACUCCGAUUGCGAAGGCAGCUCACUGGACUGCAACUGACACUGAGGCUCGAAAGUGUGGGUAUCAAACAGGAUUAGAUACCCUAGUAGUC